GACGAACGCUGGCGGCGUGCUUAACACAUGCAAGUCGAACGAAGUGGCGAACGGGUGAGUAAUACGUGGGUAACCUGCCCUCAUUUUUGGGAUAAGCCUUGGAAACGGGGUCUAAUACCGAAUAAAGGGGGAUGGGCUCGCGGCCUAUUAGCUUGUUGGUGGGGUGAUGGCCUACCAAGGCGGUGACGGGUAGCCGACCUGAGAGGGUGACCGGCCACAUUGGGACUAAGAUACGGCCCAGACUCCUACGGAAGGGAGCAGUGGGGGAUAUUGCACGAUGAGCGAAAGCCUGAUGCAGCGACGCCGCGUGGGGGAUGAGAGCGUGCGGGUUGUAAACGUCUUUCGCUAUCGUACGGGUAGGUGGAGAAGAAGCGCCGGCUAACUACGUGCCAGCAGCCGCGGUAAUUC
This 408-nucleotide ribosomal RNA is filed under the name uncultured bacterium. Its description in RNAcentral is "partial 16S ribosomal RNA". It matches the Rfam family "Bacterial small subunit ribosomal RNA", at positions 28 to 526 of the family's 1533-position model. The record is from RNAcentral.